Non-coding RNA from Pimephales promelas (fathead minnow), 1355 nucleotides. NCBI's taxonomy places the organism in Eukaryota, Metazoa, Chordata, Actinopteri, Cypriniformes, Leuciscidae. The record is from RefSeq and is a predicted model, not a curated record.
CACAUUUCACUAUCUCUAUUAAUAAUUUCUGAACAUUAAAUCUCAGAGUUUAUUCACCCUGUUACGUGCCCAAAGAACUGGUACAGAUAAGAUGGCUUCUGUAACCAUUCCAGCAGCUGAUUGGUGAUUCAACGGCUGAUUGGAUCUUGAAACUCCUCCUACUCGUCAGUGGCUGCAGCUGGCUGGGCUCUUUAAAAAGCCUAGUUUUAGAUCUGUUCACUCACUGCUCUCUGCUCCUGCUGUUGGUGAGCUUUGUGGCCCUUUGUAGGCUCCUUGGGUAGAUGGAGAUUUGGUGCAGAAGCUGAAGGUUGAAGUUCAGGGUCUUCAGAGUGCAAAAUCAUGUUCAGACGUAACCUGUCUUGACCUAGAUCCAAACAGACAAACCUAUUUACAAUCCAGGACAAACAGUUAAUUUCAGAGUUGUCUCUGUGGAUCCCAAAUUUGUGCCUUUUGAUCAAAUGUACAAUCUGGUCGUGGUGGAGGCGAGUUUGCUUCGGUGGAAGACUUUGAAUGGAGCCAAUGCAGCUUUUUGCGUUUUUCUUUCUUUGCAGAUUUUUCUCUGAGCUGUUAAUUUGUUUUAAGAUGGAUAUACACAUGGCCAACCUGUACCUGGUCAAGCCUUAGUGGAAGUGCGCUGUGAUCCAUAAUUUGACCAGGCCAGACAGUGCCUGACUCAAACCGCAAAGAUGAAUGCCAUGGGCAGUGCCUCUCUGACUGUUGAUGCGUCAGUGUUUUUCAACACCAAAUGGAAGACACCUUUCUUGUGAAUGUUACUAAAGGAGGGAACAGAUAUAAUGAUGUCAAUCUGAAACUGUGUCCCUUGCGUUUGUAGUCGGCAAAGUCACAUUUGUGGACCUCCUGGUUUCUUAUUUUGAACCUGGAUCAAUGCUUAAUGGAAAGAUCUACGUGACUUGACAAAGCUGUAUUUCUCUUGGAGGGGAGCAACUGGCCCAACAAACUGCUGUUGAAUCUAACCACAAACCAGAAUGGAUGGGCUGUGUUCUCCCUCAAACACUGCUAAUCUUAAGGCUGAUCUGAAUCUGGUGAUACAACGGUUGUCAGCUUCUCCCGACAACCCAUUGGUUGGUGAUCAGACUAUAGUGACGCUCAAUCAGCUGCUUAAAUGUGGUGCUUUGUUUCCAGUGACUGGAGUAUUCACUUGUUGGAGAGGCUGGUAGCUACAGCGCUGACAAUCUACAUGACGGUUAAAGCAAAGGCUGGUGAUGCAGUCACAAGCGGCUCUGUGACGUUCCAGUUGUUGGUGUCUCUGCAGUUUUCUCUGGCUAUGGCAGUUCUUGUGGAGGGAGAUGUUCUGAUGAUUUCAGGAUCUGGGGGCCUGGAAGAUGUCAGUGCUG